GAUAAACGCUGGCGGCGUGCCUAACACAUGCAAGUCGAACGCCCUUAACGCAAGUAAGGGACGUGGCGGACGGGUGAGGAACACGUGGGUGAUCUGCCUUGAGGUGAGGAAUACCGGCGAGAAAUCGCCGACAAUACCGCAUACGUUCGCAAGAACAAAGUCGCAAGACGCCUUGAGAUGAGCCUGCGUCCGAUUAGCUAGUUGGUGGGGUAAAAGCCUACCAAGGCAGCGAUCGGUAGCUGGUCUGAGAGGACGAUCAGCCACACU
RNAcentral lists this ribosomal RNA (267 nucleotides) under uncultured bacterium. RNAcentral describes it as "partial 16S ribosomal RNA". It matches the Rfam family "Bacterial small subunit ribosomal RNA", at positions 28 to 314 of the family's 1533-position model. The record is from RNAcentral.